This is a long non-coding RNA of Bufo bufo (common toad), 158 nucleotides long. RefSeq lists it as uncharacterized. The transcript has 3 exons. Lineage: Eukaryota; Metazoa; Chordata; Amphibia; Anura; Bufonidae. The record is from RefSeq and is a predicted model, not a curated record.
ACGCCCGUGUGAAAGAGGCCUAAGAGACAGCACUGGAGACUGCCGUGGGAGGUUUGUUAGAACCUCCUCCUCCCUAUUCAACUUUGUGGGAACUCAGGCACAAGCACAUUUACAUGAAACACAAUUACAGUGUCUAGCAGUGUGUUUCAGGAUACUGC